GAUGAACGCUGGCGGCGUGCCUAAUACAUGCAAGUCGAGCGAACGGACGAGAAGCUUGCUUCUCUGAUGUUAGCGGCGGACGGGUGAGUAACACGUGGAUAACCUACCUAUAAGACUGGGAUAACUUCGGGAAACCGGAGCUAAUACCGGAUAAUAUUUUGAACCGCAUGGUUCAAAAGUGAAAGACGGUCUUGCUGUCACUUAUAGAUGGAUCCGCGCUGCACUAGCUAGUUGGUAAGGUAACGGCUUACCAAGGCAACGAUGCAUAGCCGACCUGAGAGGGUGAUCGGCCACACUGGAACUGAGACACGGUCCAGACUCCUACGGGAGGCAGCAGUAGGGAAUCUUCCGCAAUGGGCGAAAGCCUGACGGAGCAACGCCGCGUGAGUGAUAAAGGUCUUCGGAUCGUAAAACUCUGUUAUUAGGGAAGAACAUAUGUGUAAGUAACUGUGCACAUCUUGACGGUACCUAAUCAGAAAGCCACGGCUAACUACGUG
Molecule: ribosomal RNA, 497 nt
Filed under: uncultured bacterium
Lineage: Bacteria
Description: partial 16S ribosomal RNA
Rfam family: Bacterial small subunit ribosomal RNA
Source: RNAcentral